RNAcentral lists this ribosomal RNA (422 nucleotides) under uncultured bacterium. RNAcentral describes it as "bacterial SSU rRNA". It matches the Rfam family "Bacterial small subunit ribosomal RNA", at positions 355 to 774 of the family's 1533-position model. The record is from RNAcentral.
UGAGGAAUAUUGGGCAAUGCCCGCAAGGGUGACCCAGCAACGCCGCGUGGAGGAUGAAUGUCGUAAGAUUGUAAACUCCUGUUAGAGGGGAAGAAUAGUACCGGUUGGACCGGUAUAUGACUGUACCCUCAGAGAAAGCCCCGGCUAACUACGUGCCAGCAGCCGCGGUAAUACGUAGGGGGCAAGCGUUGUCCGGAUUUACUGGGUGUAAAGGGCGCGCAGGCGGGAUAAAAAGUCAGUGGUGAAAUCCUACAGCUUAACUGUAGAACUGCCUUUGAUACUUUUAUUCUUGAGUUCGGGAGAGAGAGACGGAAUUCCAGGGGUAGUGGUGAAAUACGUAGAUAUCUGGAAGAACACCAGUUGCGAAGGCGGUCUCUUGGUCCGACACUGACGCUGAGGCGCGAAAGCGUGGGGAGCAAACA